UUCUUGUGCAUAGAGUAUGGCAAAGGAACCAGCGAUUCCUAUGACAUGGCUUAUCCACGGAAUGACAGAGGCGUCUCAUGUGAGAGACGACAAUGCAACUAACAAGCCUGCAAAUUAAUCAAAUCGUUCAUUCGGAUAGCUGAGGAGUUCACCAGAUGCUGUCAAGUCAUCUCUCGGCACAGUGUUUGUUCAAUUAUUAUCUAGUCAUCUUUUUAUCAAGGGGGCAUGAAUGGUUUUACGGAUUCCCACAUUUUGCAAACAUAUCACUGAUAAUUAUAAAACCAUGUAUGUCAUUUUAGUAGUUCAUGGUUCAUAUCUUGAAUUAGAUAGCUUUAUAUGCUCUUUUAUACUUUUACAAAAAUGAAUGAUCUGAUAUUACCUCUUGUACUGGAUGGUACCCAUCCAAUCUUUCUUUUUUUUAAUGAAAGACAUUGAAUGGUAGGUGUUCUGCAAACACAAUGCUUUACUGUUUUCUCAACCUUUCAGCAAAGUUUUGUAAAGAUAUUAAGAUUCAUCUCUCUCAACAAUUUACAAUAGAACCGUAAAGCUGUUAAUGCAAACCUUAAAUUGAAAACUAUUAUAUGAAUAUAACCAUUUCAUAGAGAUUUUGUAACAAUAUCUGAUUCAGUCUGACUUUUCAUCGGUUUUGGACAGGGAAGAAAUUCUUUGAUUUUUCUUAUCCAUGUACAUCAAUACUGUGAUAAAACCUACAUCGCGAUUCCCAAGGAAAGUUUGUACCUAAUCAAAUGUGACUGUAAUCCACCCCCAAUAUGAAAUGUAAAUUUGUAUUAUUCUUGUAUAUAACAGUUAUCACACUUGGUGUUUAUAUAAAAUGCUGUGGAUUUUUUUUUCAAUACAGAAAACUUUCCCCCAUGAUGAAAACAUUUUAAACCGCAACUCAAAUGCUGACUAUCGAGUGUUUUUGUUGUUGUUUAUUGCAUAGAUCAUAAUUAAUUUCAUUAGUAUGUUGUAUUGAUGAAUAAACUACAAGAGGUGUAAAGGUAUUUUCAGCAAAUUUAUGGCUGAACACAGAAGGGAUGGGGGCAAGGAGGUGACCUAGGGAUAAUAAAAAGAUAUUUUUCUAUUGCUGUGUAUUGCGAUUGUACACUAAGCCCCCAAGUAAAGUGAGAACCUAUAAACACUUUGUAUUUUUACUUCCUCAAUUGUUCCCAACCACA
Lytechinus variegatus (green sea urchin) is the source of this 1178-nucleotide long non-coding RNA. RefSeq lists it as uncharacterized. The record is from RefSeq and is a predicted model, not a curated record. Lineage: Eukaryota; Metazoa; Echinodermata; Echinoidea; Temnopleuroida; Toxopneustidae. The transcript has 2 exons.